UGAGGAACAUGACCUUCGGCGGGGGAUAGCCGGCCCAACGGCCGGGUAAUACCGCGUACGACCACAUGGGGACAUCCCUGAGUGGUGAAAGCAGCAAUGCGCCGAUGGAGUGCCUCGCGGCCUAUCAGCUAGUUGGUGAGGUAACGGCUCACCAAGGCGACGACGGGUAGCUGGUCUGAGAGGAUGGCCAGCCACAUUGGGACUGAGACACCGGCCCAGACCUNUACCGGGGAG
RNAcentral lists this ribosomal RNA (234 nucleotides) under uncultured bacterium. RNAcentral describes it as "partial 16S ribosomal RNA". It matches the Rfam family "Bacterial small subunit ribosomal RNA", at positions 118 to 347 of the family's 1533-position model. The record is from RNAcentral.